Molecule: non-coding RNA, 527 nt
Organism: Paramuricea clavata
Lineage: Eukaryota; Metazoa; Cnidaria; Anthozoa; Malacalcyonacea; Plexauridae
Source: the annotation of a GenBank genome assembly
GCUGGUUGAAAAUCACUUUUUUAAAAUAUUAUUUUUCAUUAAGGGGUCACGUCCAUAUUCAUAUUGCCACGCAUAACGUCGAAUCGACGUUAUGAGUGGGUGGGUGGGUUUAUCUAAAUUCUCUCGACAUUAUCUCGAUAAUCUCGUGGCAAAAUGACAAUUUUGUGAAAGUUUUGAAGAAUGUGACUGCCACGCUGGACGUUAUUUAGGGUGGGUGGGUUUGAGUGUUAACACCGAUUCGACGUUAUGCGUGGCAACAUGAAUAUGGACGUGACCCCUAAUAUAAUGCCUCAUAGAGACUCAAAAAGGAUCGUGCACUGAUUUAUACUAUCUUGUAUAUUCCCGGGCGUUCUCACGUGCUUCCGGGCGCUUCAGGGCGUCCCCGGGCACUUCUGGGCGUCCCCGGGCGCUCCGGGCAGUAUUUAGUACGACCGUCUGUAUUUGGCUUUUAUUAUUUAGGGGCGACAUCCAUACUCACAUUGCCACGCAAAACGUCAUUUUGACGUUUUCGUUUUGACCCACCCACC